Molecule: long non-coding RNA, 1059 nt
Organism: Ictalurus punctatus (channel catfish)
Lineage: Eukaryota; Metazoa; Chordata; Actinopteri; Siluriformes; Ictaluridae
Exons: 2
Source: RefSeq, a predicted model, not a curated record
GUUAAAAUGCAUACAUAUAAGAAGCAAUUAAGAACGGUUAAAAACAGUUUGACAGUAAUUUAAUGUAAACAAAUAGAAGUAUGGCUGUAAGGAACUGUGGUAACGCCUCCCCUUUAAGAGACUCGUUGGCCCAUUUUGAAGCAGCACUGAGCAGAGAGCAGAAGCAGACAGACUAACAAACUAAAAAGUUAAAAGCUUUUGUGAAGAGUUGAUUUAGAAGUUCAAAAACAAUACUUACCUGCUUGGGCAUUUGCGAAGAUUAAAUACAAGAAAACCACAACGUUUUUGGUCAGGUUUUUUUUUUUGUUGUUGUUGUUGUUUAUGUUGCUGUUUGAAAUUGGACUUUGGUCUGCCGCAUGUGGGGACUACGCACACAGACACGGGAUACAAGAUGGCAAGCCAAACCCAUGGACAAAGUUUCUAGACACAACUCGGCUUCUUCGUGCCAGAGAGGAUCUGCUGUGUACGAUGGGACUCCGGUAAACUGGCUGCCAGAGCAGUAGGAGUGUUGGGACUAAUUUUUUCCCUUGGAACUGAACUGAACUGAAAUGUACUGACCUUAAUUGAAUUUGAUGGUAUAAGUGAAACUGAACUUGAAUUGGAUCUGACGUGUUACUUCACAUUGCAUUCUGUUUCAUCAUUGUGAAUAUUAUGAUUUAAUAUAAUUUAUGAAGGUUUAAGAGUGUUUUACUUGAAUUGACUUUGAUUUGGAAACGACAAAUGUUUUCUCACCUGUAAGGAAAGGAAUAAGAGUUAACUUAAGGGAUAAAAAAGAGAAAAUAGGCACACCCUAUUAACCUAAAAUAAAAUACUUAGACCGGUCUAAUCUAAUAAAAUAAGCUAGAUAACCAAAUUAUUUGUGACCUAGGUGAAGGAAAGGGAAAGAGGAAAAAAAGGAUUAAAGUGGGUUCUACCUCCCUUUUGCUACUUGCAGGACUGUUCAUUGGUUCUGAUGUCUGUUUAAUGUACAAACCUUGGAUUGCGAAUAACUUGGUUUGCGAGUGUUUUGCAAGACGAGCAAAAUUUUAAAAUAAAUUUUAACUUGAUAUACGAAAUAGG